GGACCAACUGUGCCAGUUCCGGGUCCUCUUUGGCUUCGGCCCAUGACCUGUUUGAUUACAGUUUCCUGCAGGAUCUCACCAGAAGAGCAGGAUAUACUACUGCCUGGAUGGGAGGAUUCUACUUCCAGACCUGGAGAUGGUUGGACCAGAGUACCUUCAGCUACUCCAACUGGUAUUUACAAAACUCAGUCACUUCUUACCCGUGUAUCUACCUGAGAACCACAGGGGGCUGGACCAAUGCUGUAUGCACUACUGGAUAUCCGUUUAUCUGCGCGAAGAAAACAGACUCCUGCUGAACCAUCAAACAUCAGGACAUCACAGUCUCUGGAAUAUGAUGCUUCACACUUUCAGUGUUAUCAUUUAAACCAUGUUUAGAUUUUAGGAGAUGGGACGGGACUCUUCUACCAGCAGUGUCUUUGAAUGAUGCUGUUUAUCUUCAACUAAGAUUGAACUAACUUUUUGUUUAUACUACUUUCCUCUAAAAUCAGACUUAGAAAGAAGCUGAAUGAUGAUUGUCUUUUCCUUCUUCAUGUUUUACAGAAACAAAAAUAAAAUACAUGUCAUAAAAAACAAA
Long non-coding RNA from Mugil cephalus (flathead mullet), 574 nucleotides. RefSeq lists it as uncharacterized. The transcript has 3 exons. The record is from RefSeq and is a predicted model, not a curated record. NCBI's taxonomy places the organism in Eukaryota, Metazoa, Chordata, Actinopteri, Mugiliformes, Mugilidae.